This 349-nucleotide long non-coding RNA is filed under the name Medicago truncatula (barrel medic). RNAcentral describes it as "lncRNA gene49074". Lineage: Eukaryota; Viridiplantae; Streptophyta; Magnoliopsida; Fabales; Fabaceae. The record is from RNAcentral.
GUGCUUGGAAAAAAAAAAUGGUUGGAUCAUUUUCAAUUUUGAGAUGGUUUAGAGUAGUGGAGAGCUCGUAUUUUUAUCUAUACUAAUUGUGGGGUUAGUAUUUGGCUUAUAACUGUAGUGGUUGGCAUUACCUCAUGAUUUAAUUAUCAUCAUCGUGGCUUGGUACGGUCAACCAAAUGAAGCAAACCACGAUUCGUGAUGAUCACUUACCUAGAAUGUUGUUUUUCAUGCUUCCAGGAUUUUUGAUCAUUUAUAAUUUUGUACAACGAACCAGAUUCACGUGAUACAUGUGCAUUUUUUCCAACUUAAUGUCGCAGCACUUAUGUUUAUAUUUCAAAAUGUAGCAUGA